GAUGAACGCUGGCGGCGCGCCUAACACAUGCAAGUCGAACGAUUAAAGCACCUUCGGGUGUGUAUAAAGUGGCGAACGGCUGAGUAACACGUGGGCAACCUGCCCCUCUCAUUGGGAUAGCCACGGGAAACCGUGGAUAAUACCGAAUACUUCGGGACUUCCGCAUGGAAGACUCGAGAAAGCUCCGGCGGAGAGGGAUGGGCCCGCGGCCUGUUAGCUUGUUGGUGGGGUAAUGGCCUACCAAGGCAAUGAUGGGUAGCUGGGUUGAGAGACCGACCAGCCAGGGUGGGACGAGAGACACGCCCAGGCCCCCGCGGGGGGGAGGGGGGGGGAAUUUUGGAAAAAGGGGGAAAGGCCGGAGGCGGCGACCCGGGGGGGGGGUGAAGGCCUUCGGGUUUGAAACCCGUUUUCGGCGGGGAGGGGGGAAAAGUGAGGGACCCGGAAAAAGAGACCCGGACAAACUCCGGG
This 468-nucleotide ribosomal RNA is filed under the name uncultured bacterium. RNAcentral's name for it is "partial 16S ribosomal RNA". It matches the Rfam family "Bacterial small subunit ribosomal RNA", at positions 28 to 507 of the family's 1533-position model. The record is from RNAcentral.